This 439-nucleotide ribosomal RNA is filed under the name uncultured bacterium. RNAcentral's name for it is "partial 16S ribosomal RNA". It matches the Rfam family "Bacterial small subunit ribosomal RNA", at positions 339 to 795 of the family's 1533-position model. The record is from RNAcentral.
CUACGGGACGCUCCAGUGGGGAAUAUUGGGCAAUGGGCGAAAGCCUGACCCAGCAACGCCGCGUGAAGGAAGAAGGUUUUCGGAUCGUAAACUUCUAUCCCAGGUGAAGAUAAUGACGGUAGCCUGGAAGGAAGCCCCGGCUAACUACGUGCCAGCAGCCGCGGUAAUACGUAGGGGGCAAGCGUUGUCCGGAAUGAUUGGGCGUAAAGGGCGCGUAGGCGGCCUUCUAAGUCCGAUGUGAAAGUCCUGCUUUUAAGGUGGGAAUUGCAGUGGAAACUGGAGGGAUUGAGUGCAGGAGAGGUAAGUGGAAUUCCCGGUGUAGCGGUGAAAUGCGUAGAGAUCGGGAGGAACACCAGUGGCGAAGGCGACUUACUGGACUGUAACUGACGCUGAGGCGCGAAAGUGUGGGGAGCAAACAGGAUUAGAUACCCGGGUAGUC